UACGGGGGGGGCAAGCGUUGUUCGGAAUUACUGGGCGUAAAGGGCUCGUAGGCGGCCCACUAAGUCCGACGUGAAAUCCCCAGGCUUAACUUGGGAACUGCGUCGGAUACUGGUGGGCUUGAAUCCGGGAGAGGGAUGCGGAAUUCCUGGUGUAGCGGUGAAAUGCGCAGAUAUCAGGAGGAACACCGGUGGCGAAGGCGGGCCUCUGGGCCGAUACUGACGCUGAGGAGCGAAAGCGUGGGGAGCGAACAGG
This 253-nucleotide ribosomal RNA is filed under the name uncultured bacterium. RNAcentral describes it as "partial 16S ribosomal RNA". It matches the Rfam family "Bacterial small subunit ribosomal RNA", at positions 524 to 776 of the family's 1533-position model. The record is from RNAcentral.